GCCCCGAUAGUGAAGUCCGGCCAAUCAUACUAGGUUCUCAUCCUGGUGACCUGGGUUCGAAUCCCAGUCGGGGCG
This 75-nucleotide transfer RNA is filed under the name Candidatus Undinarchaeales archaeon SRR5007147.bin71. RNAcentral describes it as "tRNA-Glu". It matches the Rfam family "tRNA". Rfam says of the family: Transfer RNA (tRNA) molecules are approximately 80 nucleotides in length. Their secondary structure includes four short double-helical elements and three loops (D, anti-codon, and T loops). Further hydrogen bonds mediate the characteristic L-shaped molecular structure. tRNAs have two regions of fundamental functional importance: the anti-codon, which is responsible for specific mRNA codon recognition, and the 3' end, to which the tRNAs corresponding amino acid is attached (by aminoacyl-tRNA synthetases). tRNAs cope with the degeneracy of the genetic code in two manners: having more than one tRNA (with a specific anti-codon) for a particular amino acid; and 'wobble' base-pairing, i.e. permitting non-standard base-pairing at the 3rd anti-codon position. The record is from RNAcentral. Lineage: Archaea; Nanobdellati; Candidatus Undinarchaeota; Candidatus Undinarchaeia; Candidatus Undinarchaeales.